CACUAUUCUUCCAAUUUUACUCAGGUCCAGCUUGUACUCAAGGGGACAAGAUUAUACAAGGCAUGUGCACCAGGUGGUGGAGAUUUUAGGGACCAUCUUAAAAUUCUUCCUACCACAGAGAAAGACUCAAUAAAUACCAAGGAAGUUUCCUAAGGGAAAGCCAUAUUGGGAGCAGCCCUAAGGAGGAUCCUGUGGUGAGGAACUAAAGUCUCCUGAUGGCAGUAACACAAGUGAGCCUGGAACUUCAAGCCCCAGUUAACUUUCAGACUACAGCCAAGGCCAAUAGCUUGAAUGCAUCUCAUUAGAGAUCUUGAACAAGAACUACCUCAUUCCUACAUUCC
Molecule: long non-coding RNA, 341 nt
Organism: Orcinus orca (killer whale)
Lineage: Eukaryota; Metazoa; Chordata; Mammalia; Artiodactyla; Delphinidae
Exons: 4
Source: RefSeq, a predicted model, not a curated record